RNAcentral lists this ribosomal RNA (253 nucleotides) under uncultured bacterium. RNAcentral's name for it is "partial 16S ribosomal RNA". It matches the Rfam family "Bacterial small subunit ribosomal RNA", at positions 524 to 776 of the family's 1533-position model. The record is from RNAcentral.
CACGUAGGAUCCAAGCGUUAUCCGGAUUUACUGGGCGUAAAGCGCGUGUAGGUGGUUUGUUAAGUUGGGUGUUAAAUCUCUCGGCUCAACUGAGAGGUGUCGCUCAAAACUAGCAGACUGGAGGACGGUAGAGGAAGGUGGAAUUCCGGGUGUAGUGGUGAAAUGCGUAGAUAUCGGGAGGAACACCAGUGGCGAAGGCGACUACCUGGCCUGUUCUUGACGCUGAGGCGCGAAAGCUAGGGGAGCAAACGGG